This 448-nucleotide ribosomal RNA is filed under the name uncultured bacterium. RNAcentral describes it as "bacterial SSU rRNA". It matches the Rfam family "Bacterial small subunit ribosomal RNA", at positions 330 to 793 of the family's 1533-position model. The record is from RNAcentral.
CCCAGACUCCUACGGGAGGCAGCAGUGGGGAAUAUUGCACAAUGGGGGAAACCCUGAUGCAGCGACGCCGCGUGAGUGAAGAAGUAUUUCGGUAUGUAAAGCUCUAUCAGCAGGGAAGAAAAUGACGGUACCUGACUAAGAAGCCCCGGCUAACUACGUGCCAGCAGCCGCGGUAAUACGUAGGGGGCAAGCGUUAUCCGGAUUUACUGGGUGUAAAGGGAGCGUAGACGGCAUGGCAAGUCAGAUGUGAAAGCCCGGGGCUCAACCCCGGGACUGCAUUUGAAACUGUUGAACUAGAUUGCAGGAGAGGUAAGUGGAAUUCCUAGUGUAGCGGUGAAAUGCGUAGAUAUCAGGAGGAACACCGGUGGCGAAGGCGGCCUACUGGACUGCAACUGACGUUGAGGCCCGAAAGCGUGGGGAGCAAACAGGAUUAGAUACCCCGGUAAAA